Molecule: ribosomal RNA, 253 nt
Filed under: uncultured bacterium
Lineage: Bacteria
Description: partial 16S ribosomal RNA
Rfam family: Bacterial small subunit ribosomal RNA
Source: RNAcentral
UACGGGGGGGGCAAGCGUUGUUCGGAAUUACUGGGCGUAAAGGGCUCGUAGGCGGCCAACUAAGUCAGACGUGAAAUCCCUCGGCUUAACCGGGGAACUGCGUCUGAUACUGGAUGGCUUGAGGUUGGGAGAGGGAUGCGGAAUUCCUGGUGUAGCGGUGAAAUGCGUAGAUAUCAGGAGGAACACCGGCGGUGUAGACGGCUUUCUGGACCAUUACUGACGCUGAGAUACGAAAGCGUGGGUAGCAAACAGG